AACUCUCGUCCUUCAGGCCGACAAUGAAAAACUCCACCAAAAAGUCUGAGGUUAGACUUGGGAUUUGAUUAGACAACGUUCAAACUUUGUUUGGAAGUAAUAAAUGGUUUACGUUUGUCGUAGCCAAUCCUGUUGGCGCUUUGAACUGAAGGAUGAACGAAUGCCCUCAUCUUCGGCUGACUCUCGUUUAGAGGAAAUUUUACCCCUACCCACUUACUUCUUUAGGCUCCGCACCUUUAAUGGGCUGGGCUCUACUUCGCAAAUGAGAUUCAUGAAAGCCCGUUGCAACCACCUUUCGAGGAAAGGCGGGGCACACAUCGCUUUCUUCUUCAAUCUCUCAUCUGGAUAGAGGCCUAUUCCUCGUCAGGACUGGACAAUUCUCUUCUUUUUACGGGGCAUAGAGAGUCAGCAAAAUGCACAGGUGGGCCCUUUUGACCCUUUAGGAGGAAAGCGGGCGGACCAAGAAAGAAGAGAGGAGGGUUCCCCACCAGUCAAGAAAGGAUCGAAAAAGAAAAAAAGAGUAGGAUGGGUGAGUUUCUUGAUCCCGUACCGUAGGCUUCUUCAGGCGAUGAGGCAAGAUCUAAUUGUCCGGCGUCACUCUAUAAAAUGAGCAUCGGCAAAGAGUGGAGGCUGGCUGUCAAAAGAAGGACCAGGGCUGGGUCAAUCAAAGCCAAAUGCGAUAUAGCAUCCGCCCUCUUCCACUUUUGCAAUCCGGGGUUCUUUGAACCGGAAGCGAGGAGGUGCACAGCAGGCUCUUAUGUCUAGUUUCGAAGCCAAUACACAUACCAUGACAGUCAAGCCUGCCCAAUACAAUAUCAACCCGAAAGCCUUCGAUGGGAUAAUAGCCCCAUCCUAUGCGCAUUGAUGAACACAUCUAACUCAUGCGUAGACAGUGCCUGAAUGUGAGGUUAGGCGUGCAGGAUCACCUGUCUAUUUCGAUGUGUCGAAUUUGGGCGCGAACGGUAUUUGAACUCUUCAAGGCACCUUCUCCUUUCACUUUGACCUCUCCAGGGGAUCUCUUGUCAUCCACCUACGGCGAAGAAGAAGCUCAACAAGUUGCUGCUUCUGUGCCUAUCUCUCUUCAAUCAAUUUGAGUGACCCUCAAGAUCGCAACGAACUCCCGUAAUGGCCGGAACAGCCUCUUUACCUGCCAUAUAUCUAAGUCAAUUCGAUGAUUAUUAGUUUCUCAUGAGAGUGUGAGUCACCUUCUACGCGACUUUCUUACAACAAUGUGUUCUGCGCAGCCAACCGCCUUGAAGUGAGCGAGCAAGAGCCAGUCAACAAGCCAUAGCCAGUGGAUUGGUCUCGGUAAGGGAGGAAAGAAAGAGCUUUCAUUUUUGAAUCAAUAAUCUGAGGCCGGCUCAAAAUAAUCCCCGAUUGACUCGAUCAGGUUGUCGGAUUUCGGAGUGGUAGAAGAAGUCGAAGCAAAGUCCUGUCCUAUUGGAAAAGACACUACUACAACAUUUCUCUAAAGAAUCUCCUCUACCGAGUCAUUGUCCCCCACAUUUGGUUCUUCCCAUGAUGCAAGACGAUCAGCCUUAAAAAAGGGAGCUUCCAGUAGGGCUGUCGUGGAGUAGUUGAAAAGUGAAGAGAAGACCCUCUAUUUCCUUAUCAUCCAAUUUUGUAGCGGGCAGAGUGAGUCAUGAUUCCUCCUAUUACGAAUAGAAAGCGAAAUUCCUUGUCGGGUAAGUUCCGACUCGCACGAAAGGCGUAACCAUCUGGGCGGAGAGAGGCUCGGUGAAAUAGACAUGUCUGUGAAGAUGCGGACUACCUGCACCUGGAGAGAAAGACCCUAUGAAGCUUGACUGUUCCCUGGGAUUGGCUUUUGGCCUUUCCUGUGCAGCUUAGGUGGCGGGCGAAGAAGGCCCCCUUCCGGGGGGCCCGAGCCAUCAGUGAGAUACCACUCUGGAAGAGCUAAAAGCCCCGGUGAACGGCGGCCGUAACUAUAACGGUCCUAAGGAAGCGAAAUUCCUUGUCGGGUAAGUUCCGACUCGCACGAAAGGCGUAACCAUCUGGGCGGAGAGAGGCUCGGUGAAAUAGACAUGUCUGUGAAGAUGCGGACUACCUGCACCUGGAGAGAAAGACCCUAUGAAGCUUGACUGUUCCCUGGGAUUGGCUUUUGGCCUUUCCUGUGCAGCUUAGGUGGCGGGCGAAGAAGGCCCCCUUCCGGGGGGCCCGAGCCAUCAGUGAGAUACCACUCUGGAAGAGCUAGAAUUCUAACCCUUGUGUCAGGACCUACGGGCCAAGGGGCAGUCUCAGGUAGACAAUUUCUAUGGGGCGUAGGCCUCCCAAAAGAUAACGGAGGCGUGCAAAGGUUUCCUCGGGCCAGACGGAGAUUGGCCCUCGAGUGCAAAGGCAGAAGGGAGCUUGACUGCAAGCCCCACCCGUCGAGCAGGGACGAAAGUCGGCCUUAGUGAUCCGACGGUGCCGAGUGGAAGGGCCGUCGCUCAACGGAUAAAAGUUACUCUAGGGAUAACAGGCUGAUCUUCCCCAAGAGCUCACAUCGACGGGAAGGUUUGGCACCUCGAUGUCGGCUCUUCGCCACCUGGGGCUGUAGUAUGUUCCAAGGGGUGGGCUGUUCGCCCAUUAAAGCGGUACGUGAGCUGGGUUCAGAACGUCGUGAGACAGUUCGGUCCAUAUCCGGUGUGGGCGUUAGAGCAUUGAGAGGACCUUUCCCUAGUACGAGAGGACCGGGAAGGACGCACCUCUGGUGUACCAGUUAUCGUGCCCACGGUAAACGCUGGGUAGCCAAGUGCGGAGCGGAUAACUGCUGAAAGCAUCUAAGUAGUAAGCCCACCCCAAGAUGAGUGCUCUCCUAUUCCGACUUCCCCAGAACUUCCGGUAGCACAGCCAAGACAGCGACGUGUUUUCUGCCCCUGCGGGGGUGGAGCGACAGAAGUUUUGAGAAAAGAUGAGUGCUCUCCUAUUCCGACUUCCCCAGAACUUCAGGU
Molecule: ribosomal RNA, 2951 nt
Filed under: Ochetophila trinervis
Lineage: Eukaryota; Viridiplantae; Streptophyta; Magnoliopsida; Rosales; Rhamnaceae
Description: bacterial LSU rRNA
Rfam family: Bacterial large subunit ribosomal RNA (bases 1571-2879)
Source: RNAcentral